GAGUUUGAUCUUGGCUCAGAUUGAACGCUGGCGGCAGGCCUAACACAUGCAAGUCGAGCGGUAGAGAGAAGCUUGCUUCUCUUGAGAGCGGCGGACGGGUGAGUAAUGCCUAGGAAUCUGCCUGGUAGCGGGGGAUAACGCUCGGAAACGGACGCUAAUACCGCAUACGUCCUACGGGAGAAAGCAGGGGACCUUCGGGCCUUGCGCUAUCAGAUGAGCCUAGGUCGGAUUAGCUAGUUGGUGAGGUAAUGGCUCACCAAGGCGACGAUCCGUAACUGGUUUGAGAGGAUGAUCAGUCACACUGGAACUGAGACACGGUCCAGACUCCUACGGGAGGCAGCAGUGGGGAAUAUUGGACAAUGGGCGAAAGCCUGAUCCAGCCAUGCCGCGUGUGUGAAGAAGGUCUUCGGAUUGUAAAGCACUUUAAGUUGGGAGGAAGGGCAGUAAAUUAAUACUUUGCUGUUUUGACGUUACCGACAGAAUAAGCACGGCUAACUCUGUGCCAGCCGCCG
Molecule: ribosomal RNA, 512 nt
Filed under: uncultured bacterium
Lineage: Bacteria
Description: bacterial SSU rRNA
Rfam family: Bacterial small subunit ribosomal RNA
Source: RNAcentral